Molecule: ribosomal RNA, 48 nt
Filed under: Huntiella chlamydoformis
Lineage: Eukaryota; Fungi; Ascomycota; Sordariomycetes; Microascales; Ceratocystidaceae
Description: partial 28S ribosomal RNA
Source: RNAcentral
AAUUUUUUUAGGUUGACCUCGGAUCAGGUAGGAAUACCCGCUGAACUU